UAUUGUGAUGUUUUUAUCAGCUGUUUGGACUCUCAUUCUGACGGCACCCAUUCACUGCAGAGCAUCCAUUGCUGAGCAAGUGAUGCAUUGCUACAUUUCUCCAAAUCUGAUGAAGAAACAAACUUAUCUACAUCCUGAGUGAAUCGAACCCUUCCUGUGCUCUCAUUCAUGCCACUGCGAGACACAAACGCCGCGCUCUCCUCCUCCUCAUCUUCCUCCUGUCCCUCGGCCUCCUGCUCCCCCCCACGCCACCCCUCUUCCCUCCCGCCGUCCUCCGGCCCCAGGUGAGGAGAGUAAGGGAGGGAUGCUAGCGCACAGUCUUCUGAAGGGUACUCACAAACUCUCUCCAGCUGAGCGUCGUCGAAACACACCUUCACCUAAACCAGAGGAACGAAGAAAGUCUUACGGGUUUGGAACAGCAUGAUGCUGUUGUGAGUGACUGGUUUUGGCUGAACUAAUGUGUAAAUGCAUGCACUGUUAAACAAUGAUUUUUACAAAGUUGAAAAUUAAACAAAAAAUUAAACAAGAAAAUACUAGGCCUAUUUCAGUUUUUCUGCUGAACAAUUUCAAGUUUAAUUUAGCGUGAUUCAAAGUAAAUCCUGCAUCGUACUUUUUACUUUUUCAUGGGAAAAGUAAUUAAAUUACAGUAAUAAUUAUUAAAUAAUGCAUUAAACUCGACAGUGGCAAUAAGACAUGAUUUCAAAGAUGUUUUUGUCUGAAACAUGGAGUUUCUUAAAAUGUCUAAAUAUUAGAGAAUUGCCCUAAAAAUAUCUUAAAUCGAAGCAGAAAAAUCUUAAAUUCAUAAGGUCGUGACAUUAAAUGUUGCAUGCAUUGCAAAAAUCUUACAUUUGUUUUCUUUUUCAGUGCAAAUAUCGAAACUUCCUCAAGUCAAGAUACAUUUACUUGAGGUGCACAAUAAAGAUUUGAAGUAUUCUGAGAAACUGAUCAAAAUGAAGAGAAUUUAUGCUUAAAACAAGAACAAAUAUCUGCCAAUAUAUCCGUAAAUAUCGGUCAAAAAAAUACACUUGUUUUCUUUUUAAAAAGGUAAUUUUUUCUGACCUCAUUGGUAGAUAUUUGUUGUUUAAUCAAACUCACUUCAUUUUGAUCAGUUUCUUUGUGUCCCUUCCAUUUCCUUUAAUUGGUCUUAAAAGUCUUAAAUUUACCUUCACAAAACCUGCAGAAACCCUGGAUCAAGUCACCCCUCAGGGAUUUUGGAUACAGAAAUGACAUUUAUCAGACAGCAGCCAUUUAACAACUGUUAAUAUCCAAAGCAAAUUAUACUGCAAAGCUGACAUUUAACACUUUUUUUUUUUUUUUUUUACUGCUGGUCAGAAGCGCUUAAAUGCAUUUGCACAGCAAUUAUGAAUACACUUAUUUUAUUAACACUUAACUUGGUUGUGUAAAGACGCUUUUGCAGUGCACUUCAAUCCAUAAUUGCCUUGAAAUCACCUGCCGUUAACCCUAUAAAGUUACUGUUGAUACAAGACCUCCAAAUGAUCGACAUGACCAAAACUUUGCUGUUAAACCUGUUGCACACAAUCUACUACAUGCCGUCUGUCUUCUUUACUUUAAUAAGUAAGCUCUUUUGGUAUAAUUGUACAAACGGCUGACCCCAGCUUGAGCUUCACAAGUCUUUCUGCUGUUAAAUCUUGACGGAUUUUUAUCAAGUAAACGUCAGAAAAACUGUAGUCAUAUUUCCAGAUGAACACUUACUGUACUGAAGCAGCUCGGUUUUACUUCGUCUCUCAAUCAUCAAUGGAUUGCAUUGCAUUAUAUGUUUGGAUCUUUUAAAUCUCAUCUUACUGAGACAUAUUAUUGGAGAUAUAAAGUGACCACUGAUAUUUAUAUCAUUUUAUGUCAAUAUCUGCUGUACUGUUAUAAAGAUCUCAUUAAUUUACAUUACAAGCAUCAGAAUUUAAUCAUAUUAAUAUCGCAUCUGCAAAUUGCAUAUUUUUGCUCCGUUUGAGACUCUGAAUAAAAUUGAGUUGUUUUCCCUCCAUAUUAUCACUACAUAUGACUAUAUGAGUCAUAACAGCCUGAUAUAAUACAAAACAUAAAACGCCUAUGCAAACUUUUUUUUUUUUGAUUUUUUAAAAUAUUUAGUUUAAAGGUUUAAUGAAAUGCUUGCAUUUCAAAACAUUAGAUUUUUUUCUGACUUAUUUCAUAUGUCAGACUUUUCAGGGUUAAUGCUGACAGAUCAUAGCAGUCAGCAGGGGUGUCGCUAGUGGGGAAAGGGUGACAGAGUGCAUAGGGCCGAGAGGUCUGGGGGGCCCGAGAUCGCCUACUGGCCAUCAGGAGCACCGGGACAUUCUAUUCAAGUAGUGGGUCGAUCGCCGAAACGAGGGAGACCUCCCCAAUAUUAGGCGCUGUUUUUACAUUACAGCACAUGUGAAAUAGGCCUACUCCAAAAGUGUGAAGCAGCGCUCCCCGAUGCAUUCGCCAGCCGCGUGUCAAAGCAGAGCGGGAUGCUGGCUGAAAACAGCCAUGACAAUGAGGUAUAUUGGAAAACGCUAAUUGGUUUGUCAAUUCAGCACCAUAAUUUAACUUAAAGAUAUUAACUAUUAACUACAAAUAGCCUAUGUUGGCAGAAAUGUAUUUAUUAUAAAUAUUACUGUUAUUACAUAUUGUGGAAUAUUUUAAUUUUAUAGAAGGUGUUUUGUAGUUUCUUCAUGUUUAGUUUUUUUUUUUUUUAACUACAAAUUUUAUAGUUUAUUAUUACUUAUUAUUUAUUUAAAAAACCAUAUAACCAUGGUAAUGAGGACCAUGGUUUUACUUCUUGUGACCACCAUCCUACUAAUACUAGUCAGCUAAACUCUGGAAGCAAGAACAUCUUUCUUUUUAGAUGUUUAGUUAUAAUGAAUUUUAAUUGAAGUAAAAUGUUAAUUCAAUAAGGGCCUGAUUAAAGAUAAAUAUCAGUGUCUUAUAUAAAUUAGGUGUUCAUUAUUUACAAAUAAUCAAGUUCUGAAAGGGAGAUUCACCCAAAAAAUGAAAAUUGUCAUUAUUUACUCAACAUCAUGUCCAAACCUGUAUGAAUGUAUUUCUUCUGUGGGACAUAAUUUGAGAAAUUCAAGAAAUUUGUGUCCAUAGAAAUCAAGGGUAACCAAAAUGGUUUGGUAACAUUCUACAAAAUCUUCUUGUGUGUUCAACAGAAGAAAGUAAAUCAUGCAGGUUUGGAACAACACAAGGGUGAGAAAAUGAUGACAACAUUUUUUAGCAAUACCUUUCCAGCAGUCUAGCUCACAGUAAAUACGUUACUGUCAAGUGCUCUUCUAUGUGACAAAAAUGCAUUAUUAAGUUUGUUGCAUUUGUUGUGAAUUCAGUAAUAUCUAUCAGUAUUCAUUUCUGUUUUAUGUAUUCGUGCACAGGGCCCAGAAUUCUUAGCGACGGCCCCGGCAGUCAGACCAGUGAACCUUCAAACAUACUAUAAGAUAAAACAUAAAUAACACAGUCGACAUAAUACAGAGAGAAAAGCAGCGCUAUAAUGGCUUAAGGUUCAAAUGAGGAAAGUGUAAAGUCACCCCCCUCUGACAGAUUAAGAGCUGGAGACUGACGUCAAUCGUUCUGCAGGGGGCACGCGGUAAUACAGCCACACUACCAUACUACUAUUACUAUUUCUGUUGUACGAAGUGUAGGAACAGUACAAGAUGUGCUGUAUGCAUGCGCAGGUGAUCUUCUAGAUUCAACAGAACGUUUAGCACACAGCCAGAGCAGUGCGUGGAAUACUGAUCCUCAGAUAGUCAGUCUAAACAACAGGCCAAGUGAGCCCAGUCACAGAACAUAAAACUGUCUGCAAAGACAAGCGUGAACUGCAAGACGAAUGAAGGUUAGAUGUGGUCACAGUGUAAACUGGGGAAAUGACUUUUGGAGCAAACACACUUUCACACACACACACACACACAUACACACACGCUGUUAAAUGUAACGUGAUGCUGUUGGUCAUACAGUAUGAACUGAAAUUUUCAUAAACCGAUAACCCUAGGUUUUUGCUUUUGGUUUUAUGCAUUCUCUUCUAUCUGUGCUACAGGAAGUGACACAGCUCAGAGGAGGAAGUAGACAAAGAGUUGUCACAAGACUGCUUUAAAAAACCCAAAACGUUGCAGCUAUAUAAAACGUAAAAAACUUGUAAAGAAAAAAUACAUGUAUUAUGCACAUCACCUUCAACCAUGUGUAUAGUUCAGCUUUUCAUGUCUUGUUUUGUCACUUUAAUUGGAAAAAUGUAUUUAUUAUUUACGCUACAAUCAAAACAUUUGGAAUAAUUAGUUUUGGUUUUUUUUAUGUUUUUGAAAACCUUUUUUUAUCAGCUGAAACUCUUUAAUGCAAAAUAUUUACUUGUAGUAACCACUGAUAUCUUACAUGAAUUUUUCAAUUAUUUACCAAAUUAUUCACAGUUCUCUGAUGCUGGUUGGCCAUUUCGAGGUAAACAAAUAAUGAUUUUUUUUUUUCUUUAGUAAGUGAUUUUAUUUUAUUGUUUUUAUUUAAAAAUAUAUAUAUUUUAGUUUUACUUUUUAUGAUUUAAUUAUUAAAAUUCCAUGAACUUCCAUGAAUUUUAAUUUGAAUAACUCUUAUUUUAAUAUAACUAUUAAUAUUUCAUCAACUUUAUGUAUUUCCCCUACAAAUCCCAGUUUGAGGAAGAAACACUUUGCCAGAUCAUAUACUGUAGUUCAUUGCCAUAAAUGGCCUAUGUUUAUGCUAAUGUAGUGAGUUUCUGUUUCCUAAUUUUAUAAAAUGCAGUCGAAGCUGCACAUUUAUCUGUAUUCUGCAACUUUACUUAAAGUAACACAACUAUGUCAUUUUUAAAAUUGAAUGUUUUCUCCACUAUCAUAGAUCUCGUGGUCUUCUGUCUCAAGAGUCCGGUUUCAUUGUUGUCUUCCUUGUACAUUUGACUCCAGUUCCUGGCAGAAGUUAGUGUAUGUGGUUACACUGAUGGCCACAAUGCAAACAUACUGCUCUAUUAACUCCCUGUGAAAACCCAGCUAAAUUAAAAGGUCAUUCUUCUGUUCCAAGGAGAAUGCUGCCAAAUUCUCUCGUUCCCUCUUUCUGCUCUGUUGAGUUCCUUUGUGUUUGCUGUGUCCCACUUACUACAAUAAGCUGUGUUUGAUGAGAACAAGCAGUGCUAUUAAACCUCAUAUCGGAAGACAGAAGCGGGACCAUAUAUCUCUCUGAGUAGUUGCUGAUAGGUGAGAUACAGAGGUGAGAGUUUCCAGCAUUGUGUGCGUUAGUAUUUUUUGCAGCUCUAGGGAGGAACUACAAAGAUAUUGAGAGGAAGCCAAGCAUUCAGUAGUAUAUCAUGUGUAUCAGCCUCGCUGACAUAUCCUGCAAUCAGAUGCCAUCAUAAAUGACUUGUGGUCACAUCAGUGUUCUCUAUGUACUGAAAUUCCCCCUAUAGUGCAACCUAAGAAUAAAAAUAAGACAUGACUGAAAGUAAUGAUGUUGCGCAGUUCAGUGAGUCAGAUGUCCAUUAGGGAAACCCUGUGGUUAAUUCAGUGAAGGAUUUGUAAAACUGAUAGUUCCAGAGUUUGUCUUUUGUAAGAAUCAGAAUCAGACUGUUUCUUCAUGCUUGUGGAGAUGUAGAGUAUAUAGUGUUCUGCAAACUUCCUGACACUGUUAUUCACUGUUAACAAUCUUCUGUAGAUUUAAAACUGCAUAAUGCUCUGCCCUGGGUCAUUCUAGACUAACAAACAUCGAGGUCAGGCAGGACAGUGUCAGGGUGAAAGGUACUGAAGAAGGCAUGACUGCAAUAGAUUAACCCCAAUCUAUUCAUAGACUUGCAUUCUACUUUAAAGUCAGGCUUUUAGUGUAAUGGUCUUUUUUUUUUCGUUGUUGCUGGUGUAAGUCAAUAAUUUUAGAUGUAGGAGUAAUCAUAUUUUUAUGGCUUGGUUUGUUUGUUAAUUACUCCUGAACAAUGCACAAUGAAUCAGGUGCUUCCUAAAGUCAUUUUCCAUUUUUUCUUUUUUCAUGCAGCGUUUAAAUGUGUUAACUCACACAGGGACUAUCUUCACCUGUGGACUGUGAUGGCGUGAGAGAUAAGCCUAAUCCAGGCUUAACGCUGAGCAACUGCUCUGGCCACAAUCAAAGACGACAGAGAUAUUCUGGACUGACUAUUGAGAGAUCACACUUUGAUUCGCUCUUGGGAAUCUUCUCAAGUGCAAUUGUCUCUUCUCUGAAAUAAAAACAAUCUCACUAAACCGUAACCACACAUCUAAAACAAAAUGCAAAAUGCUAAUUGCAAAUUAUUUUCAUUGCAUGCAUGCUCAUUUUUGUAUUGCCCUAAUACUAUCAGCAUAGCAGCUCAUCGUAUAGGUCAUGCAAAAAUACAAAAACU
Onychostoma macrolepis is the source of this 6322-nucleotide long non-coding RNA. RefSeq lists it as uncharacterized. The transcript is spliced from 3 exons. NCBI's taxonomy places the organism in Eukaryota, Metazoa, Chordata, Actinopteri, Cypriniformes, Cyprinidae. The record is from RefSeq and is a predicted model, not a curated record.